UUAAUUGAAGCCAAAAUAGAGGCUUAUCAUUGUUAAUGAUAUCACUGAAUAAUCUAUUCCAAUUAAA
This 67-nucleotide transfer RNA is filed under the name Layahima wuzhishana. RNAcentral's name for it is "tRNA-Asn". The record is from RNAcentral. Lineage: Eukaryota; Metazoa; Arthropoda; Insecta; Neuroptera; Myrmeleontidae.